AACGGUCUAUACCUGCGGUACCUGCGGAAGGAUCAUUACCGAGCCGUGAGGGUCACCUGGGAACAGGCUUGAUCUUUCACUUGGCCACCCUUGUUUAUUUUAACCUGUUGCUUUGGUGGGCCCGCCACAAUGGCCGCCGGGAAAUUUGUGUGUUCCGGGCCCGUGCCCACCAAAGUCUUCAUGAAUUCUUUGUUAUAUUUUUUGCUGUCUGAGCAUUAAAAGUGAAAUAUACUUAAAACU
RNAcentral lists this unclassified non-coding RNA (240 nucleotides) under soil metagenome. RNAcentral's name for it is "partial contains 5.8S ribosomal RNA, internal transcribed spacer 2, and large subunit ribosomal RNA". The record is from RNAcentral.